This 429-nucleotide ribosomal RNA is filed under the name Pseudomonadota bacterium. RNAcentral's name for it is "Proteobacteria bacterium partial 16S ribosomal RNA". It matches the Rfam family "Bacterial small subunit ribosomal RNA", at positions 355 to 776 of the family's 1533-position model. The record is from RNAcentral. Lineage: Bacteria; Pseudomonadati; Pseudomonadota.
UGGGGAAUAUUGGACAAUGGGCGAAAGCUUGAUCCAGCCAUGCCGCGUGUGUGAAGAAGGUCUUCGGAUUGUAAAGCACUUUAAGUUGGGAGGAAGGGCAGUAAGCGAAUACCUUGCUGUUUUGACGUUACCGACAGAAUACGCACCGGCUAACUCUGUGCCAGCAGCCGCGGUAAUACAGAGGGUGCAAGCGUUAAUCGGAAUUACUGGGCGUAAAGCGCGCGUAGGUGGUUCGUUAAGUUGAAUGUGAAAGCCCCGGGCUCAACCUGGGAACUGCAUCCAAAACUGGCGAGCUAGAGUAGGGCAGAGGGUGGUGGAAUUUCCUGUGUAGCGGUGAAAUGCGUAGAUAUAGGAAGGAACACCAGUUGCGAAGGCGACCACCUGGGCUCAUACUGACACUGAGGUGCGAAAGCGUGGGGAGCAAACAGG